This 224-nucleotide ribosomal RNA is filed under the name uncultured bacterium. RNAcentral's name for it is "partial 16S ribosomal RNA". It matches the Rfam family "Bacterial small subunit ribosomal RNA", at positions 15 to 229 of the family's 1533-position model. The record is from RNAcentral.
GAUCCUGGCUCGGGAUGAACGCUAGCGACAGGCUUAACACAUGCAAGUCGAGGGGCAGCAUGAACUUAGCUUGCUAAGUUUGAUGGCGACCGGCGCACGGGUGAGUAACGCGUAUGCAACUUACCUAUCAGAGGAGAAUAGCUCAUCGAAAGAUGAAUUAAUGCUCCAUAAAACAGGGGUCCCGCAUGGGAAUAUUUGUUAAAGAUUCAUCGCUGAUAGAUAGG